Molecule: long non-coding RNA, 481 nt
Filed under: Naja naja (Indian cobra)
Lineage: Eukaryota; Metazoa; Chordata; Lepidosauria; Squamata; Elapidae
Description: lncRNA (ENSNNAG00000008219.1)
Source: RNAcentral
UAUUUUUCCAGGUGGAUAUUCCUGUUAAUAAUAUAUUUUCUUUUAAAUUGUACUUUCCCAGUUUCCCCUGCCCCUGGAGCCCGUCCAGCAUCCUGGAACUACUUCCCCCCUUAAUUGGAGCUUGGGAUAUAUGUCUUACAAACUGGAGCCAUCCGUUUGUGUCAACAUUAUUUUUUUUUUUAACCAGUUUUAACCUAAGUCCUAUUUCUAGAGCUUUCAUACACAUUUCAUGUACAUUGCUAUUAUUUCUAAUUAAGUACAAGGGAAUGGUGUAGAAAAAACAAAGAACAAAGGGUAAAUGUUGAAAUCAUAUUUUUUUAAAAAGCUGAACAGCCAUAUUAUUAUAUACAAAGCUGCCAAGGUAUAAGUAGAAACAGCUAUGGUAUAGUUGUCAUAGCUACAUUGCAAGAGCUUCAGAUGAGGUACAUUUAUUGGGAUAAAAAUAACCAGAAUAUGCUGAUGUGGUUAGUGUAUGUUGGGC